RNAcentral lists this ribosomal RNA (252 nucleotides) under uncultured bacterium. RNAcentral describes it as "partial 16S ribosomal RNA". It matches the Rfam family "Bacterial small subunit ribosomal RNA", at positions 524 to 776 of the family's 1533-position model. The record is from RNAcentral.
UACGUAGGGGGCGAGCGUUAUCCGGAAUUAUUGGGCGUAAAGGGUUCGCAGGCGGCUAAACAAGUCAGGUGUGAAAGGUCGAGGCUUAACCUCGGUAAGCAUUUGAAACUGUCUAGCUUGAGUUAAGGAGAGGAAAGAGGAAUUCCUAGUGUAGCGGUGAAAUGCGUAGAUAUUAGGAGGAAUACCAGUGGCGAAGGCGACUUUCUGGCCUUAAACUGACGCUGAGGAACGAAAGCGUGGGUAGCAAACAGG